GAUGAAGAACGUAGCGAAAUGCGAUAAGUAAUGUGAAUUGCAGAAUUCAGUGAAUCAUCGAAUCUUUGAACGCACAUUGCGCCCGCCAGUAUUCUGGCGGGCAUGCCUGUUCGAGCGUCAUUUCAACCAUCAAGCCCCAGGCUUGUGUUGGGGACCUGCGGCUGCCGCAGGCCCUGAAAACCAGUGGCGGGCUCGCUGUCACACCGGGCGUAGUAGAUUUUAUCUCGCUCAGGGCGUGCUGCGGGUUCCGGCCGUUAAAAAGCCUUUUUUACCCAAGGUUGACCUCGUAUCAGGUAGGAAGACCCGCUGAACUUAAGCAUAUCAAUAAGCGGAGGA
This 336-nucleotide unclassified non-coding RNA is filed under the name soil metagenome. RNAcentral describes it as "partial contains 5.8S ribosomal RNA, internal transcribed spacer 2, and large subunit ribosomal RNA". The stretch from base 1 to 120 matches the Rfam family "5.8S ribosomal RNA", at positions 35 to 154 of the family's 154-position model. The record is from RNAcentral.